GGGAUAGAAAAUAAAAUUAAACUAAGAAACAAACCUGGGACGGAUUCAAUCCAUCAUAAAUUGCAAUAUUUUUUGGCAAAUUUUAAAACCGACAAUGCUCGCUGGUUAGCUUUGUCCAUGUUGAUGGCCAGGGCGAACUGGGUGUUGGCGGCAGUUUUGGUCGAUGGUGGGAGCAUGGGGUUCGUUGGUUGAGAGGUGGCGGAUGCUCUGGUGUUGAGAGAGGCGGCGCUUGUCGCUAUUUAUGUUGGUGGCAGCGGCAGGUGGAAGUUGUGGUGUCGGUUGGAUAGAGAACGGCGGUGCCUAACGACGAGGGCUAUUGGUGAUGGUCACUUGUUUCGCUGGUGGGAAACGAAGAGAGAGAAAAAAAGGUAUAGGAAGAGGGGAGGCUUCUUCGACCAUGGUUGUGCCUAUGGUGGAAGAGGUGGCGAUCAGCAGCAGCCAUGGCUAUUGGCAGAGAGAUGAGAGUGAAAG
RNAcentral lists this long non-coding RNA (471 nucleotides) under Capsicum annuum. Its description in RNAcentral is "long non-coding RNA (CANN_LNC007238)". The record is from RNAcentral. Lineage: Eukaryota; Viridiplantae; Streptophyta; Magnoliopsida; Solanales; Solanaceae.